This 500-nucleotide ribosomal RNA is filed under the name uncultured bacterium. RNAcentral describes it as "bacterial SSU rRNA". It matches the Rfam family "Bacterial small subunit ribosomal RNA", at positions 28 to 524 of the family's 1533-position model. The record is from RNAcentral.
GACGGACGCUGGCGGCGUGCUUAACACAUGCAAGUCGAACGAUGAUCCUUGUGCUUGCACGGGGUGAUUAGUGGCGAACGGGUGAGUAACACGUGAGUAACCUGCCCUCUUCUUCGGGAUAACGGUCGGAAACGGCUGCUAAUACCGGAUAUUCACGCAUGGGCGCAUGUUUGUGUGUGGAAAGGUUUUUUCUGGUGGGGGAUGGGCUCGCGGCCUAUCAGCUUGUUGGUGGGGUGAUGGCCUACCAAGGCUUUGACGGGUAACCGGCCUGAGAGGGUGACCGGUCACAUUGGGACUGAGAUACGGCCCAGACUCCUACGGGAGGCAGCAGUGGGAAUUUUGCACAAUGGGCGCAAGCCUGAUGCAGCGACGCCGCGUGAGGGAUGGAGGCCUUCGGGUUGUGAACCUCUUUCGCCCAUGGUCAAGCCGCACGUUUGCGUGUGGUGAGGGUAGUGGGGUAAAGAAGCGCCGGCUAACUACGUGCCAGCAGCCGCGGUAAU